This 329-nucleotide ribosomal RNA is filed under the name uncultured bacterium. RNAcentral describes it as "bacterial SSU rRNA". It matches the Rfam family "Bacterial small subunit ribosomal RNA", at positions 568 to 898 of the family's 1533-position model. The record is from RNAcentral.
UGCGUAGGCGGCUCUUUAAGUCAGUGGUGAAAUCUUGCCGCUUAACGGUAAAAUUGCCAUUGAUACUGAAGAGCUUGAGUACAGUUGAGGUAAGCGGAAUGUGUAGUGUAGCGGUGAAAUGCUUAGAUAUUACACAGAACACCAAUUGCGAAGGCAGCUUACUAAACUGUUACUGACGCUGAUGCACGAAAGCGUGGGGAGCGAACAGGAUUAGAUACCCUGGGUAGUCCACGCCGUAAACGAUGCUCACUCGCUGUUUGCGAUACACAGCAAGCGGCCAAGCGAAAGCAUUAAGUGAGCCACCUGGGGAGUACGAUCGCAAGGUUGAA